Molecule: unclassified non-coding RNA, 400 nt
Filed under: soil metagenome
Description: partial contains 5.8S ribosomal RNA, internal transcribed spacer 2, and large subunit ribosomal RNA
Rfam family: 5.8S ribosomal RNA (bases 1-122)
Source: RNAcentral
GAUGAAGAACGCAGCGAAAUGCGAUACUUGGUGUGAAUUGCAGAAUCCCGUGAACCAUCGAGUCUUUGAACGCAAGUUGCGCCUCAAGCCAUUAGGUUGAGGGCACGUCUGCCUGGGCGUCACAUAUCGUUGCCUGAUGCCAGUUUCCUCGUGAUGGGUGACUGUGCAGGGCGAAUGAUGGCUUCCCGUGAGCAUUGUUGCCUCAUGGUUGGUUGAAAAUUGAGUCCUUGGUAGGGAGCGCCGUGAUAGAUGGUGGUUGAGUGACGAACGAGACCCAAUCAUGUGAGACCCCUACCGAAUUUGGCCUUCAUGACCCACAUGCGUCUUUGGGACGCUCAUGACGAGACCUCAGGUCAGGCGGGGCUACCCGCUGAGUUUAAGCAUAUCAAUAAGCGGAGGA